CAGAUGAAUGACCCGGAAAGGGAGUUGGGGGCAGGACAGGGCAGGGCAGGGCAGGGUGCCGGGGUGGGGGACAGCUGGGUGUAACUAAGGGAAUUACUUCCAGAGCAGCCCCUCCUCCCACCCGCUCACUUCCAAUUCCCACCCCAACCGCACGUGUCCCCAGCACCGGGAGGGCACGGGGCGGGGCCAAGCCGCGGAGAGAAGCGGAAGGCAGGGACCCCCUAAAGCCGGAAAAGCAUGCGAACCCCGGAGGCUUACAAAAAGCUCUGGUCCCUGUACGCUGGAGAGCCGCAGACCACCGGUUCCAGCCCGCACUCCGGGCGGCCCUCCCACCUCUCCGCUCAUCUGGGCCACUCCCUCACCAUGCCAGCCCGCACUAAUCAAGCCCUCUGGGUACUUUGCUGGAGUUCUUUCCCACCGUUCAGGACGCCCUUCUCACCAAGCAGUCCUUUGCCAGCUGCCACAGGAAUCCAAGUGCACAGCUUUUCCCGCCAAAACCUGCUUGCGUCAUGCUGUCGCAAAAGCGCACACCUUUGCCGUAAAGUGGGCCGGCGCGCGUUGUCCUAUCCCGAGCUCUACCGAGGAGCAAUUUCGGUAGACUGACCGAGCAAGGGCCCCUCCUUCAAGUACUGGGCGUGCUUGGUUGGAGUUCUGAUGCGGCCGC
RNAcentral lists this long non-coding RNA (664 nucleotides) under Rattus norvegicus (Norway rat). RNAcentral's name for it is "long non-coding RNA NONRATT027571". Lineage: Eukaryota; Metazoa; Chordata; Mammalia; Rodentia; Muridae. The record is from RNAcentral.